RNAcentral lists this ribosomal RNA (631 nucleotides) under uncultured Gammaproteobacteria bacterium. RNAcentral's name for it is "bacterial SSU rRNA". It matches the Rfam family "Bacterial small subunit ribosomal RNA", at positions 292 to 916 of the family's 1533-position model. Lineage: Bacteria; Pseudomonadati; Pseudomonadota; Gammaproteobacteria. The record is from RNAcentral.
CUGAGAGGACGAUCAGCCACACUGGGACUGAGACACGGCCCAGACUCCUACGGGAGGCAGCAGUGGGGAAUAUUGGACAAUGGGCGCAAGCCUGAUCCAGCAAUACCGCGUGUGUGAAGAAGGCCCUAGGGUUGUAAAGCACUUUCAAUGGGGAGGAAAACCUGCCGGUCAAUACCCGGUAGCUUGACAUUACCUUUAGAAGAAGCACCGGCUAACUCCGUGCCAGCAGCCGCGGUAAUACGGAGGGUGCGAGCGUUAAUCGGAAUUACUGGGCGUAAAGCGUGCGUAGGCGGUUCGUUAAGUCAGAUGUGAAAGCCCCGGGCUCAACCUGGGAACUGCAUUUGAAACUGGCGAACUAGAGUUGAGUAGAGGGGAGUGGAAUUUCAGGGUAGCGGUGAAAUGCGUAGAUAUCUGAAGGAACACCAGUGGCGAAGGCGACUCCCUGGACUCAAACUGACGCUGAGGUACGAAAGCGUGGGUAGCAAACAGGAUUAGAUACCCUGGUAGUCCACGCCGUAAACGAUGUCAACUAGCCGUUGGUCCUAUAUACAGGAUUAGUGGCGCAGCUAACGCAUUAAGUUGACCGCCUGGGGAGUACGGCCGCAAGGUUAAAACUCAAAGGAAUUGACGG